UAGAAGGGAUUUAGAUGUUCCAUUGAUAGUGUUAAUGAAAGCCGCACCAUCAACCAAGGCCAAAGCCAGACCUUAAGAAAAUGAAAGCCAGAAAGCCUAUGAAUCUAAAGUGGCAGAAGCUACGAGGCUAAACAACCCUUGCCCAACUAGAGCGGAACUAUCGCCGGUGCUUAUGAAUAUAUUUUUGCAUUCAUUUGAUCUUAUCUAUUG
Molecule: long non-coding RNA, 210 nt
Filed under: Elaeis guineensis (African oil palm)
Lineage: Eukaryota; Viridiplantae; Streptophyta; Magnoliopsida; Arecales; Arecaceae
Description: long non-coding RNA (EGUI_LNC048734)
Source: RNAcentral